RNAcentral lists this ribosomal RNA (241 nucleotides) under uncultured bacterium. RNAcentral's name for it is "partial 16S ribosomal RNA". It matches the Rfam family "Bacterial small subunit ribosomal RNA", at positions 15 to 244 of the family's 1533-position model. The record is from RNAcentral.
GAUCCUGGCUCAGGAUGAACGCUAGCUACAGGCUUAACACAUGCAAGUCGAGGGGAAACGACAUCGAAAGCUUGCUUUUGAUGGGCGUCGACCGGCGCACGGGUGAGUAACGCGUAUCCAACCUGCCCACCACUUGGGGGUAACCUUGACGAAAGUAAUACUAAUACCCAAUGACAUCCCACGAAGACAUCUGAAUGGGAUUAAAGAUUUAUCGGUGAUGGAUGGGGAUGCGUCUGAUUAG